CUUGGGGAAAAGCUUCUGUUUGAUCCAAGAACUCUUCAUUCUCUGGCAAAAUCCCUCUGUAUAUUGAAUAUCAGCAAUAAUAAUAUUGAUGACAUUAGAGACUUAGAAAUACUGGAGAAUCUUAAUCAGCUCAUAGCCGUUGACAACCAACUUCUGCAUGUGAAGGAUUUGGAGUUUUUACUGAACAAGUUGAUGAAGCUGUGGAAAAUUGAUCUAAAUGGAAAUCCUGUUUGUCUCAAACCAAAAUACAGGGACAGACUGAUAUUGGUGUCCAAAUCACUGGAAUUUCUUGAUGGAAAAGAAAUUAAAAAUAUAGAAAGACAAUUCCUAAUGAAUUGGAAAGCAUCCAAAGAUGCCAAGAAAAUCAGCAAAAAAAGGAGCAGUAAAAAUGAGGAUGCAAGCAAUUCACUCAUAAGUAAGCACUCU
RNAcentral lists this small RNA (426 nucleotides) under Pan troglodytes (chimpanzee). RNAcentral's name for it is "processed transcript". Lineage: Eukaryota; Metazoa; Chordata; Mammalia; Primates; Hominidae. The record is from RNAcentral.